RNAcentral lists this unclassified non-coding RNA (412 nucleotides) under soil metagenome. RNAcentral's name for it is "partial contains 5.8S ribosomal RNA, internal transcribed spacer 2, and large subunit ribosomal RNA". The stretch from base 1 to 120 matches the Rfam family "5.8S ribosomal RNA", at positions 35 to 154 of the family's 154-position model. The record is from RNAcentral.
GAUGAAGAACGUAGCGAAAUGCGAUACGUAGUGUGAAUUGCAGAAUUCCGUGAACCAUCAAAUCUUUGAACGCAUAUUGCGCUCGAGGCUUCGGCCGAGAGCAUGUCUGCCUCAGCGUCGGUAUUACCCCUCGCUUCUCAACCCCUGGUUGAUGCCUGCCUGCCUUUGCAGUUGGCUAGAAGCGGAUCUGGCUUUCCCAAUUGCCUUUGGUAGUUGGGUCAGCUGAAGCACAGAGGCUUGAGCAAGGACCCUUAUUGGGCUUCAACUGGAUAGGUAGAACUGGUCUUAGGACCAACUACACGAAGUUGUUGCUUGUGGUUUUUGUCUGGAGGCCAGCAGGAAACCUUUAUACCUUCGACCUGAGCUCAGGCAAGAUUACCCGCUGAACUUAAGCAUAUCAAUAAGCGGAGGA